CUUCCGUGCCGCUUCUGAUUACAAGUAAGUUCAUUUGGUUAGUUCUUUUCCUUUCCUUUUAUUUAUAUAUUUAUUUUUCAUUUGGUCGUGCUGAAGUUCUUGGAAAGCUGUGGAAUUAAUUGGAUAUUUGUGUUCUAGGUUCAGGAAUUGGGAGGAUUAGAAAUGGUGCUGUAGGUAAUUAGAUUGGUUGGGCAAGGAUUAGGGAUUUUAUGUGUUGCUUCGUAGGUUAAGAUUUGAAUAAAAGUUCAGCGCAUAAUGCUUAAUUAACUCAAUUUUUUGGUUGAAUUUUUAUCGAUCCUAUGAGAACUUAAAACGUAAUUAACUUCCUUUAAUUUUUUAUUGUUAUUAGUUUUUUCUGUUGAUGUAUAUGUAAUAAAAUUUUUUAACCUUUGAUUGAUUACUCAUUGUAUUUGUAAGAUUCAUGCACCUUUUUGCCUGAAUAUUCUGACCUUCUCAAUGCGGAUUUGCCAGUUCCUAGCACAGUGGGGAUGUAAUUUGUAUAAUAAAUAUUUAAAAAUUUUGUAGAGCUGGAAAAGGGAGCUAACUGGUGAUGCUUAUAUGUUUAUUAUGCUCACCUCGAAAAUUUCUUGUUGGAUUUGGG
RNAcentral lists this unclassified non-coding RNA (601 nucleotides) under Hevea brasiliensis (rubber tree). Lineage: Eukaryota; Viridiplantae; Streptophyta; Magnoliopsida; Malpighiales; Euphorbiaceae. The record is from RNAcentral.